Molecule: ribosomal RNA, 220 nt
Filed under: Thalassionema nitzschioides
Lineage: Eukaryota; Bacillariophyta; Fragilariophyceae; Thalassionematales; Thalassionemataceae
Description: partial Bacterial small subunit ribosomal RNA
Rfam family: Bacterial small subunit ribosomal RNA
Source: RNAcentral
AUAAGAUUAGGUUGUUGGUUGUUGUAAAAGACAUAUCCAAGCCUAUGAUCUUUAGUUGGUUUGAGAAGAUGAUCAACCACACUAGAACUGAGACAAGGUCUAGGCUAAAUUUUUAGCCAGCAGUGAGGAAUAUUGAACAAUGAACGAAAGUUUGAUUCAGCAACACCUACUUGAAUGAAGACGGCUAUCUGGUUGUAAAAUUCUUUCAUUAAAAAUGAUA